UCGAUGAUAGGGGCGAAGUCGUAACAAGGCAUCCGUAGCGGAAGCUGUGGAUGGAUCCACUCCUUUCUAGGGAGUA
This 76-nucleotide ribosomal RNA is filed under the name Candidatus Falkowiibacteriota bacterium. RNAcentral's name for it is "partial 16S ribosomal RNA". The stretch from base 1 to 66 matches the Rfam family "Bacterial small subunit ribosomal RNA", at positions 1468 to 1533 of the family's 1533-position model. Lineage: Bacteria; Candidatus Falkowiibacteriota. The record is from RNAcentral.